CCUACGGGUGGCUGCAGUGGGGAAUUUUGGACAAUGGGCGCAAGCCUGAUCCAGCCAUGCCGCGUGCGGGAAGAAGGCCUUCGGGUUGUAAACCGCUUUUGUCAGGGAAGAAACGGUUCGGGCUAAUACUUCGAACUAAUGACGGUACCUGAAGAAUAAGCACCGGCUAACUACGUGCCAGCAGCCGCGGUAAUACGUAGGGUGCAAGCGUUAAUCGGAAUUACUGGGCGUAAAGCGUGCGCAGGCGGUCAUGCAAGACAGAUGUGAAAUCCCCG
Molecule: ribosomal RNA, 275 nt
Filed under: uncultured bacterium
Lineage: Bacteria
Description: partial 16S ribosomal RNA
Rfam family: Bacterial small subunit ribosomal RNA
Source: RNAcentral